This is a long non-coding RNA of Pseudophryne corroboree (corroboree frog), 426 nucleotides long. RefSeq lists it as uncharacterized. NCBI's taxonomy places the organism in Eukaryota, Metazoa, Chordata, Amphibia, Anura, Myobatrachidae. The record is from RefSeq and is a predicted model, not a curated record. The transcript has 2 exons.
CCUGUGUCAGGACAUGUCGCAGGCAGCGUGCGGGAACGACGCGGGCGGACUGAGGGUAACAACAGAACAGAACACAGCGAAGGGAGAAUACCUUUGGAGCCAAUCAGAUGCCUCCCUGAUGGUAUUGCAUGAUGAAGUUCUGGAAGUGAUGAUAUGGACCCCACAGAGCCCUCUCAUCAUCGAGUCUGGGAUUACAUAAAGAGUCAGAAGGACUAGAGCAAGCCUGCUACCACAGAUCUGUGGUUGGUUCUCCAAGAUGUUUGGAACAACCUCCCUGCCGAGUUCCUUCAAAAACUGUGUGCAAGUGUACCUAGAAUUGAUGCUGUUUUGAAAGUAAAGGGUGGCCACACCAAAUAUUGAUUUGAUUUCCCUUCUUUUCAUUCACUGCAUUGUGUUAAAUGAUAAAAAAUAAACUAUUAACACUUC